Molecule: unclassified non-coding RNA, 905 nt
Filed under: Leishmania donovani
Lineage: Eukaryota; Euglenozoa; Kinetoplastea; Trypanosomatida; Trypanosomatidae
Description: gene:LdHU3.36.8770(CDS-product:hypothetical_prote in)
Source: RNAcentral
GUUCUUGGCAGCCGCAGCACGCACACUCGUACUCGCAAAAGGAAUUGUUCCUUCCAUAAACUCGAGGGGAAAAGAAGGAGUUUUGCCAAGCAGACAACACAAGAAGGGAACGUAGCUUUCACUUUUUGCUUACUGCAAUGGUAAAGGCAAGGACCAACGCCUCGACCUUCCCUCUCUGCCAACAAUAAUCGGCCCAAGUGAGAGCGACACGAAUCGAUCAGCAUCUUCGAGGACUCAAUCUAUCGAUAUUGAGCUGAAAACAUCAGCAGUCAUGAGGGCAACAGUUUUCGUUCUGAUUGCGACUCUGGUGGCAACGGUGUGCUUUGCUGCCGAGGCCGAGGUGACUAGCGACACGACUGUGACUAUUGCUAUGUCCAGCACCACAGCGACUGGGAUUAUCGUCGGCAUUGCGCUUAUUAGCGUGCUGACCUUUGCCGUGGGCAUGAUGCAGGGCAUUCAGAUUUCUGAUACUAUUACAGACUCUUCCACGGAGACCAGCUAAAAAGACACGGUAGUCUUGUUGCCUUCUUUGUGUGCAGGCGCCACCCGACACACUUUGUUUUCGCCGUUUAUCGUUGGGGUGCGUGGUAUUUGACGGGCUGAGGAGAAAGUUGUAUUCGGUUUGUAAAAAAAAAAAAGAAACGACGCGAUGGCCCUCCUUUGUGGGAGACAACUGCUGCGCAAGGCUCUCUGAAUAGCCUUUGAUGCCAGUAUUCAAAAGAGAGUAUCUUAUCUUCUUGUGAUAUCCGUGAACCGAAGUGCCACACGAUUAUGGGUUGCUCCGUGCGUUCGGAGCGCUGCCAUGGUGUUUGCGCGACUUGCUGUUCUUGUUUGAAAAAUUUUUAGUUUUCUCUCCCGUUUUCUACGCUCUACCUUCUCUACUACCCUUCUCUUCGUGUCGCCAG